UACGAAGGGGGCUAGCGUUGUUCGGAUUUACUGGGCGUAAAGCGCACGUAGGCGGAUCGUUAAGUCGGGGGUGAAAUCCUGGAGCUCGACUCCAGAACUGCCUUCGAUACUGGCGAUCUUGAGUCCGGAAGAGGUGAGUGGAACUCCUAGUGUAGAGGUGGAAUUCGUAGAUAUUAGGAAGAACACCAGUGGCGAAGGCGGCUCACUGGUCCGGUACUGACGCUGAGGUGCGAAAGCGUGGGGAGCAAACAGG
This 253-nucleotide ribosomal RNA is filed under the name uncultured bacterium. RNAcentral describes it as "partial 16S ribosomal RNA". It matches the Rfam family "Bacterial small subunit ribosomal RNA", at positions 524 to 776 of the family's 1533-position model. The record is from RNAcentral.